UACGGGGGGAGCAAGCGUUGUUCGGAAUUACUGGGCGUAAAGCGCGCGCAGGCGGUUCUUCAAGUCAGAGGUGAAAGCCCAGAGCUCAACUCUGGAAUGGCCUUUGAGACUAGAGAACUAGGGUACGGGAGAGGUGAGUGGAAUUCCGAGUGUAGAGGUGAAAUUCGUAGAUAUUCGGAAGAACACCAGUGGCGAAGGCGGCUCACUGGCCCGUUACCGACGCUCAGGCGCGACAGCGUGGGGAGCAAACAGG
RNAcentral lists this ribosomal RNA (253 nucleotides) under uncultured bacterium. Its description in RNAcentral is "partial 16S ribosomal RNA". It matches the Rfam family "Bacterial small subunit ribosomal RNA", at positions 524 to 776 of the family's 1533-position model. The record is from RNAcentral.